UCCUGGUUUCCCAGGCAGUCCCAUCAGAGUGCCUCAAUUAAGAGUAGCAACUGAUAGCAGGGGUUGCGCUCGUUAUAGGACUUAACCCAACAUCUCACGACACGAGCUGACGACAGCCAUGCAGCACCUGUGUAUAUGUCUCAAGUUUCCCUGAGAAAGCUACGUUUCUGCAGCGGUCAUAUACAUGUCAAACCUAGGUAAGGUUCCUCGCGUAGUGUCGAAUUAAACCACAUGUUCCACCGCUUGUGCGGACCCCCGUCAAUUCCUUUAAGUUUUAAUCUUGCGACCGUACUCCCCAGGCGGAUCACUUAACGCGUUAGCUACGACACCAAUCUCGCAAAGCGAGACUGACAUCUAGUGAUCAUCGUUUACGGCGUGGACUAC
Molecule: unclassified non-coding RNA, 384 nt
Filed under: uncultured bacterium
Lineage: Bacteria
Description: contains 16S-23S intergenic spacer region
Source: RNAcentral